Gavialis gangeticus (Gharial) is the source of this 439-nucleotide long non-coding RNA. RefSeq lists it as uncharacterized. Lineage: Eukaryota; Metazoa; Chordata; Crocodylia; Gavialidae. The transcript is spliced from 2 exons. The record is from RefSeq and is a predicted model, not a curated record.
CCUGUCUGGACCAUCCAAGCCCACAACGUACCCUUUGCUUCCAGGAACUGAGUGGCUGUCUUUUCUGUUAAGCAAAGUAACAUCUGGUAUUGGAAAGCCAACAGAGAGCAACAGCAUCACCUGCGAACAGGAAUGCUUGGUGCUUUCUUCAGAAGGAAAAACCUGCCAUAAACUGAAAAGUCAAUCAUCUAUCCAUUGGGAAACAAAACUGCAGCACAGGGGAAAUGGAGGGUAGGAGAAGGUUCGUAAAUCUUGAGGACCAGUCAGAGCAAAGAAAUAGAAACCCUUGGGUCUGGAAUGGAAGCUGCUUAACUGGCCAGAACUACAGAAGUGAUAGAGAGCCUGGAACAGAAAAGGAAACGGGAUGGGAAGGGCCAAAUAGGCUGAAUGGCAGAGGUCAGGCAGGAUUUGAGCUGAAGAAGCAUCAUCCCUUAGAAAA